Molecule: ribosomal RNA, 301 nt
Filed under: uncultured bacterium
Lineage: Bacteria
Description: partial 16S ribosomal RNA
Rfam family: Bacterial small subunit ribosomal RNA
Source: RNAcentral
CAGUCGCCGCGGUAAUACGUAGGGUGCGAGCGUUAAUCGGAAUUACUGGGCGUAAAGCGCACGUAGGCGGAUCGAUCAGUCAGGGGUGAAAUCCCAGGGCUCAACCCUGGAACUGCCUUUGAUACUGUCGAUCUGGAGUAUGGAAGAGGUGAGUGGAAUUCCGAGUGUAGAGGUGAAAUUCGUAGAUAUUCGGAGGAACACCAGUGGCGAAGGCGGCUCACUGGUCCAUUACUGACGCUGAGGUGCGAAAGCGUGGGGAGCAAACAGGAUUAGAUACCCCCGUAGUCCCUGUCUCUUAUAC